UGGGGAAUAUUGCACAAUGGGGGAAACCCUGAUGCAGCGACGCCGCGUGAGCGAAGAAGGUUUUCGAAUCGUAAAGCUCUGUCCUAUGAGAAGAUAAUGACGGUAUCAUAGGAGGAAGCCCCGGCUAAAUACGUGCCAGCAGCCGCGGUAAUACGUAGGUGGCGAGCGUUAUCCGGAUUUACUGGGCGUAAAGGGCGUGUAGGCGGCUAGAUAAGUGUGAUGUUUAAAUCCAAGGCUUAACCUUGGGGUUCAUUACAAACUGUUUAGCUUGAGUGCUGGAGAGGAUAGUGGAAUUCCUAGUGUAGCGGUAAAAUGCGUAGAUAUUAGGAGGAACACCGGUGGCGAAGGCGGCUAUCUGGACAGUAACUGACGCUGAGGCGCGAAAGCGUGGGGAGCAAACAGG
Molecule: ribosomal RNA, 403 nt
Filed under: Verrucomicrobiota bacterium
Lineage: Bacteria; Pseudomonadati; Verrucomicrobiota
Description: Verrucomicrobia bacterium partial 16S ribosomal RNA
Rfam family: Bacterial small subunit ribosomal RNA
Source: RNAcentral